RNAcentral lists this ribosomal RNA (1127 nucleotides) under uncultured Alternaria. RNAcentral describes it as "eukaryotic LSU rRNA". The stretch from base 495 to 1127 matches the Rfam family "Eukaryotic large subunit ribosomal RNA", at positions 1 to 649 of the family's 3401-position model. Lineage: Eukaryota; Fungi; Ascomycota; Dothideomycetes; Pleosporales; Pleosporaceae. The record is from RNAcentral.
AGGGAUCAUUACACAAAUAUGAAGGCGGGCUGGAACCUCUCGGGGUUACAGCCUUGCUGAAUUAUUCACCCUUGUCUUUUGCGUACUUCUUGUUUCCUUGGUGGGUUCGCCCACCACUAGGACAAACAUAAACCUUUUGUAAUUGCAAUCAGCGUCAGUAACAAAUUAAUAAUUACAACUUUCAACAACGGAUCUCUUGGUUCUGGCAUCGAUGAAGAACGCAGCGAAAUGCGAUAAGUAGUGUGAAUUGCAGAAUUCAGUGAAUCAUCGAAUCUUUGAACGCACAUUGCGCCCUUUGGUAUUCCAAAGGGCAUGCCUGUUCGAGCGUCAUUUGUACCCUCAAGCUUUGCUUGGUGUUGGGCGUCUUGUCUCUAGCUUUGCUGGAGACUCGCCUUAAAGUAAUUGGCAGCCGGCCUACUGGUUUCGGAGCGCAGCACAAGUCGCACUCUCUAUCAGCAAAGGUCUAGCAUCCAUUAAGCCUUUUUUUCAACUUUUGACCUCGGAUCAGGUAGGGAUACCCGCUGAACUUAAGCAUAUCAAUAAGCGGAGGAAAAGAAACCAACAGGGAUUGCCCUAGUAACGGCGAGUGAAGCGGCAACAGCUCAAAUUUGAAAUCUGGCUCUUUUAAAGUCCGAGUUGUAAUUUGCAGAGGGCGCUUUGGCUUUGGCAGCGGUCCAAGUUCCUUGGAACAGGACGUCACAGAGGGUGAGAAUCCCGUACGUGGUCGCUGGCUAUUGCCGUGUAAAGCCCCUUCGACGAGUCGAGUUGUUUGGGAAUGCAGCUCUAAAUGGGAGGUACAUUUCUUCUAAAGCUAAAUAUUGGCCAGAGACCGAUAGCGCACAAGUAGAGUGAUCGAAGGAUGAAAAGCACUUUGGAAAGAGAGUCAAACAGCACGUGAAAUUGUUGAAAGGGAAGCGCUUGCAGCCAGACUUGCUUACAGUUGCUCAUCCGGGUUUCUACCCGGUGCACUCUUCUGUAGGCAGGCCAGCAUCAGUUUGGGCGGUAGGAUAAAGGUCUCUGUCACGUACCUCCUUUCGGGGAGGCCUUAUAGGGGAGACGACAUACUACCAGCCUGGACUGAGGUCCGCGCAUCUGCUAGGAUGCUGGCGUAAUGGCUGUAAGCGGCC